AGGGGAUUCCUGAAUCAGGAAGAAAAUUUGACUAAAUAAUUUUUUUUUAAACCCUUACCUUCCGUCUUGGAGUCAAUACUGUGUAUUGGCUCCAAGGCAGAAGAGUGGUAAGGGCUAGGCAAUGGGGGUCAAGUGACUUGCCCAGGGUCACACAGCUAGGAAGUGGCUGAGGCCAGAUUUGAACCUAGGACCUCCCGUCUCUAGGACUGGCUCUUAAUCCACUGAGCUACCCAGCUGCCCCCUUGACUAAAUAAUUUUGAAUUAUGUCCUUUUCAAUUUUUCAGAUUUUUUUACUCUAAUAAGAAAGCAACAUGCAAUUAUAGAUAGAAAGCUGAUAUUAGAAAUAGAAGGCCUGAGAUUCAAGUUCUAUCAGUAAUACCUACAGAAGAAGUCAUUAAACCUGUCAAUAUUCUGAGCAACUCUAUAAAACAGUAAAUUAUGGAAAAGGUAUCAACUUGCAUUUGCAAGCACAAUUUCUUCCAAUGGGAGUUAUCUGUACCAGUAAAUCAUUAAUAGUGUUCCUAUUCCUUUAAGCACUGUCAUAGACUCCUUGUUCAUCAAACUGUGAGUGAUAGACAUCUACCUUCCCUAAACAUGGUCUCAGUGUCUUGGUCUCAGUUACAAGACUCUAAGGAAGACUCUGAUUGUGGAAAUUAAGCAUUGUUUGAACAUAAACCUCUGGGAAUGGGAAACUGAACCCCCUGAACUUGCUGCCCAGAAAUCCUCAAACAAGAACCCAAGUCAUGUCUAAGGACUGAUGCAUUUAGAUUAUAAAGGACAGGAUAAAAAUGGCUGAAAGUCAAUAUCUAAGAAAAGUAAGGAAAUAACCAAGGAGCACCCUACUGUUCUAGAAGAAUUCAAGUUACCUGGCUGAGGUAAACCCCAUCCCACAUCAGUAAUUUCUGAGCAACAAUUGUCUGUGAUAUUUAAAAGAACUGAAGAGGUACUGGAAAAGGGCAACUGUCAUCCCAAUUUUCAAGAAAAAAUGAAUGGAAUCUGAACACUGUAGUCAAAUGAGCUUGGCUUCAAUUCCCAGGAAAAUCCUACAGUGAAUUAUUAACGAAACAGUUAAUGAGCAGUUAGAAAAAUAAAUAGCCUAGCC
Molecule: long non-coding RNA, 1102 nt
Filed under: Monodelphis domestica (gray short-tailed opossum)
Lineage: Eukaryota; Metazoa; Chordata; Mammalia; Didelphimorphia; Didelphidae
Description: lncRNA (ENSMODG00000050036.1)
Source: RNAcentral